UAAGUAUUCCCUCCGUCCAAAAAAACUUGUCCCUCAAAUGGAUGUAUCUAGCAUCAAGUUGGUGCUAGAUACAUCCAUUUGAGAAACAAACUUAGACAAGCUUUUUUGGACGGAGGGAGUAGUAA
Molecule: non-coding RNA, 125 nt
Organism: Triticum aestivum (bread wheat)
Lineage: Eukaryota; Viridiplantae; Streptophyta; Magnoliopsida; Poales; Poaceae
Source: Rfam